CGCGCAGGCGGCCAUUCAAGUCAGGGGUGAAAGCCCGGAGCUCAACUCCGGAAUUGCCUUUGAAACUGUUUGGCUUGAGUACGGGAGAGGUGAGUGGAAUUCCCAGUGUAGAGGUGAAAUUCGUAGAUAUUGGGAAGAACACCGGUGGCGAAGACGGCUCACUGGCCCGUUUCUGACGCUCAAGCGCGACAGCGUGGGGAUCAAACAGGAUUAGAUACCCUGGUAGUCCACGCCGUAAACGAUGAAUGCUAGCCGUUGGGCAGCUUGCUGUUCAGUGGCGCAGCUAACGCAUUAAGCAUUCCGCCUGGGGAGUACGGCCGCAAGGUUGAA
This 330-nucleotide ribosomal RNA is filed under the name uncultured bacterium. Its description in RNAcentral is "bacterial SSU rRNA". It matches the Rfam family "Bacterial small subunit ribosomal RNA", at positions 568 to 898 of the family's 1533-position model. The record is from RNAcentral.